UACGUAGGGUGCGAGCGUUAAUCGGAAUUACUGGGCGUAAAGGGUGCGUAGGCGGUUUGAUAAGUCUGAUGUGAAAUCCCCGGGCUCAACCUGGGAACGGCAUUGGAGACUGUCAAGCUAGAGUGCGUCAGAGGGGGGUAGAAUUCCACGUGUAGCAGUGAAAUGCGUAGAGAUGUGGAGGAAUACCGAUGGCGAAGGCAGCCCCCUGGGAUGACACUGACGCUGAAGCACGAAAGCGUGGGGAGCAAACAGG
This 253-nucleotide ribosomal RNA is filed under the name uncultured bacterium. Its description in RNAcentral is "partial 16S ribosomal RNA". It matches the Rfam family "Bacterial small subunit ribosomal RNA", at positions 524 to 776 of the family's 1533-position model. The record is from RNAcentral.